Chinchilla lanigera (long-tailed chinchilla) is the source of this 1042-nucleotide long non-coding RNA. RefSeq lists it as uncharacterized. The record is from RefSeq and is a predicted model, not a curated record. Lineage: Eukaryota; Metazoa; Chordata; Mammalia; Rodentia; Chinchillidae. The transcript is spliced from 4 exons.
CUUCCAGCAUGCUCCGCAGAAGGGCCUGGAGUUCAGCGAGGGCAGGACCUGUGUCUGUCACCCUGCUCUCUCUAAAGCAAAUAUUAAGAAGCUGACAUUUAUCAAAAUGAACAAACACCUGCUGCCAGUGAAUCGUGCCCUGAAUCACGACACACAGAAGAACAUCUAGCGAGUUUGCAGUGCUCACACUGUGGGCCUCCAAAGGCUUUUGUUCACACUGAGCAUGGUGACCCUUGUCAAAGGGGCAUCCCUGCAUCCAUGCUUUUGCUUCGGAGGAUGGAAGGAAAGAAGGAAGGUGUUCAGGUUCCUUCUCAAGAGAUCUAACCCAGGGCCUCACACAUGCUAGACAUGUGCUUUGUCGCUGAGCUACAUCCCCGCCUUGCGCAGUUAAUAACUCUUAAGGGUAUACGAGUGAUCAAAUGAAAUGAUGGAAGCGAAACUUCACACACAACCAAAGCCAAAAUGAACAUGUGCCUUGUACUAAGAAAUCCCAGGAUUGUCACAACUUGUGCCAGCUGUUGAGGUUAUGACACCUGCGCCAGCAUCGCCAGCUCUGCCCACUGUCAUCUGUUCCAAGUGUUCCAUCUGCACUGUUUGUACCAAUUCUCCCAUUUCUGCAUCUGUACCUUCUGCAGAAACGUUUCCAACAAUGCCAGCUGUGUCACUGAUGCCAAAUAUGCCAGAUGUUCUAUUUGUCCACCCUGGGCCAAAUCAAUGUAGUUUUGUGCUCAUUAGUUUUAGCUGGUAGAUUCUAUUUUACAAUUUUUUGAGAUGUAUUUAGAUUGAAUCCGGGCAAAAAUCCCCUUUGCAGUGAUAUUCCUUCUACCCGUUCAUCUUUUUGCAACCCCAACUUUGAAUCUGAAAACAUGAAGUCAGCCGAUGUUAUUUUGAUCAUCUUAAACCAGCUGACGGUAACCAGUUCAAUAUUAAUUGUGGUAGAUAAUUUCCUACAAUGUAGAACUCUGUAUCACAAAAACCACGGAACACAGCAACAAAUUGGCAAAGUAAUUAAAAAAGAAUAAACUUUGUUCUGAUACACAAA